AUGGAAGGCCUCUUGCAUUGGGACUUUGCACCUGGCCUUGCAUUGGCCGAUCAGGUGAGACGCAGGUUUGGCUCCACGGUCCAUUUCUCUCCUUCUCGGGACUCCAAGGAAUUUUUUUUGGUGGUCUCUUUCUCCUCGGCUUCCUUCCCCCUCACUGUGGAUUCGGUUGGCAUUGCACUACAAUGCUGUAUUGGGGGCCUUAGCAAUGGAUUCAAAGUGCUUCAACUCAAUUCUCGAUCCUUCCGGUUUUCGGUGGCUAAUAAUAAAGUGGGACAUUUCAUCCACCAUUUGAGGGAUCGUGUUUGGCCGGAUUUUGUAUGUCAUUUCCACCUUUUCAAUGGCCGUUUUGCAAGUGCUCCAAUUGAUGAUUCAUGUUGGCACGCUGACACUGAGCUCACGGAUUUAUCUUCUCGUCGUUCAUUGGCUGUUAAAUCAUCUUUACAAUUCCUGCAUUCGGGAGCUAACUUGAAUUCUAACUCUGAGGAGGUGUUGUGUAAGUUUGGUCUGAUUCCGUUUUCUUCGAUGCGGUUCUCCAACAAUGCUCAUGAAGCGUCCUCAUCACGCUUGAAUCAAAAUUCACAGGAUCUUACGACAUCAGUUCUUACUAUGGGGGAUCCUGCUGAUCCUUCCUCAUGA
Molecule: ribosomal RNA, 636 nt
Filed under: Triticum aestivum (bread wheat)
Lineage: Eukaryota; Viridiplantae; Streptophyta; Magnoliopsida; Poales; Poaceae
Description: partial small subunit ribosomal RNA
Source: RNAcentral